UACGAAGGGGGCUAGCGUUGUUCGGAAUUACUGGGCGUAAAGCGCACGUAGGCGGAUUGUUUAGUUAGGGGUGAAAUCCCCGGGGCUCAACCCCCGGAACUGCCUCUAAUACUGACAGUCUAGAGUCCGAGAGAGGUGAGUGGAAUUCCGAGUGUAGAGGUGAAAUUCGUAGAUAUUCGGAGGAACACCAGUGGCGAAGGCGGCCUCCACUGGCUCGGUACUGACGCUGAGGUGCGAAAAGCGUGGGGAGCAAACAGGAUUAGAUACCCCCGGUAGUCC
Molecule: ribosomal RNA, 279 nt
Filed under: uncultured bacterium
Lineage: Bacteria
Description: partial 16S ribosomal RNA
Rfam family: Bacterial small subunit ribosomal RNA
Source: RNAcentral